This 252-nucleotide ribosomal RNA is filed under the name uncultured bacterium. RNAcentral describes it as "partial 16S ribosomal RNA". It matches the Rfam family "Bacterial small subunit ribosomal RNA", at positions 524 to 776 of the family's 1533-position model. The record is from RNAcentral.
UACGUAGGGGGCAAGCGUUGUCCGGAAUCAUUGGGCGUAAAGCGCGCGUAGGCGGCCCGGUAAGUCCGCUCUGAAAGUCCAGGGCUCAACCCUGGAAAGCGGGUGGAUACUGCCGGGCUAGAAUCCGGAAGAGGCGAGUGGAAUUCCUGGUGUAGCGGUGGAAUGCGCAGAUAUCAGGAGGAACACCAAUAGCGAAGGCAGCUCGCUGGGACGGUAUUGACGCUAAGGCGCGAAAGCGUGGGAGCAAACAGG